Molecule: ribosomal RNA, 715 nt
Filed under: Escherichia coli KOEGE 7 (16a)
Lineage: Bacteria; Pseudomonadati; Pseudomonadota; Gammaproteobacteria; Enterobacterales; Enterobacteriaceae
Description: bacterial SSU rRNA
Rfam family: Bacterial small subunit ribosomal RNA
Source: RNAcentral
AACGAUGUCGACUUGGAGGUUGUGCCCUUGAGGCGUGGCUUCCGGAGCUAACGCGUUAAGUCGACCGCCUGGGGAGUACGGCCGCAAGGUUAAAACUCAAAUGAAUUGACGGGGGCCCGCACAAGCGGUGGAGCAUGUGGUUUAAUUCGAUGCAACGCGAAGAACCUUACCUGGUCUUGACAUCCACGGAAGUUUUCAGAGAUGGAUUGGUGCCUUCGGGAACUGUGAGACAGGUGCUGCAUGGCUGUCGUCAGCUCGUGUUGUGAAAUGUUGGGUUAAGUCCCGCAACGAGCGCAACCCUUAUCCUUUGUUGCCAGCGGUCCGGCCGGGAACUCAAAGGAGACUGCCAGUGAUAAACUGGAGGAAGGUGGGGAUGACGUCAAGUCAUCAUGGCCCUUACGACCAGGGCUACACACGUGCUACAAUGGCGCAUACAAAGAGAAGCGACCUCGCGAGAGCAAGCGGACCUCAUAAAGUGCGUCGUAGUCCGGAUUGGAGUCUGCAACUCGACUCCAUGAAGUCGGAAUCGCUAGUAAUCGUGGAUCAGAAUGCCACGGUGAAUACGUUCCCGGGCCUUGUACACACCGCCCGUCACACCAUGGGAGUGGGUUGCAAAAGAAGUAGGUAGCUUAACCUUCGGGAGGGCGCUUACCACUUUGUGAUUCAUGACUGGGGUGAAGUCGUAACAAGGUAACCGUAGGGGAACCUGCGGUUG